This 497-nucleotide ribosomal RNA is filed under the name uncultured bacterium. RNAcentral's name for it is "partial 16S ribosomal RNA". It matches the Rfam family "Bacterial small subunit ribosomal RNA", at positions 28 to 507 of the family's 1533-position model. The record is from RNAcentral.
GACGAACGCUGGCGGCGUGCCUAAUACAUGCAAGUCGAGCGCUAACGGAUGGUACUUGUACCCACUGGAUGAGCAGCGGACGGGUGAGUAACGCGUGGGGAAUCUGCCUCUGAGCGGGGGACAACAUUGGGGAACGAAUGCUAAUACCGCAUAAUAACUUUAACCACAAGAUUUAAGUUUGAAAGAUGCAAUUGCAUCACUAAAAGAUGUACCCGCGUUGUAUUAGCUAGUUGGUGAGGUAAAGGCCAACCCAAGCGAUGAUACAUAGCCUGCCCGAGAGGGUGAUCCGCCAAAUUUGGAACUGAGAACGGGCCAAGACACUGCGGGGGGGAGCCGUAGGGGAUUUUCGGCAAUAGACGAAAAGCUGAACGCGCCACGACGCGUGAGUGAAGGAGGUUGUUGGGUCGUAAAACUCUUUUGGUAGGGAAGGACGUUGGGGAGAGUGAAACGCUCAUCUAGUGACGGUAACUACCCAAUAAGCGACGGCUAACUACGUG